This 433-nucleotide ribosomal RNA is filed under the name uncultured bacterium. Its description in RNAcentral is "partial 16S ribosomal RNA". It matches the Rfam family "Bacterial small subunit ribosomal RNA", at positions 29 to 507 of the family's 1533-position model. The record is from RNAcentral.
AAUGAACGCUGGCGGCAUGCCUAAUACAUGCAAGUCGAACGAGACCUUCGGGUCCAGUGGCGCACGGGUUCGUAACGCGUGGGAACCUUCCCUUAUGGUCGGAAUAACUCUCCGAAAGGGGUGCCAAUACCGGAUAAUGUCUUCGGACCAAGGAUUUAUCGCCUUUGGAUGGGCACGCGUUGGAUUAGCUAGUUGGUAGGGUAAAAGCCUACCAAGGCGACAAUCCAUAGCUGGUCUGUGAGGAUGAUCAGCCACACUGGGACUGGGACACGGCCCAGACUCCUACGGGAGGCAGCAAUGGGGAAUAUUGGACAGUGGGCGAAAGCAUGAUCCAGCAAUGCCGCGUGAGUGAUGAAGGCCUUAGGGUUGUAAAGCUCUUUUACCCAGGAUGAUAAUGACAGUACCGGGAGAAUAAGCUCCGGCUAACUCCGUG